AUGUCGGAAAUCAUCUUGGAAAACAAACCUAAGCUCAUCAAAUGGCUUAGUUUGGAUUAUAAAUUUGUUUUGCAACAUGUUCAAGCUAAAAAACUUAUAACACAGUCGCACUAUGAUGACUUGAUGGCCAUGAAGGCGAGCGACAGUAUCAUCAAACUUUUGGACAUCAUCCGUAGAAGAGGAGAAAAUGUGUGUCGAGAUUUUCUGGAUUUGCUAAAAGAUGAUGAUGUGAAUGAAAUAUCGCCGGAGCUAAGAGACUGGGUCAAAACAGUUGACUCAGAAGACCAGAAAACAGAAAAAUACAAAGGAAGAGCAAGUGUUAACAGACCUAAACAAGAAACUGCCAACAUGACAGGACAAUCACGCAUCCAAGUAAACAGCCAAAUCUCUGCAUCAGAUGGCAGCAGUGUAAUUUCGCCUACCAUAAUUGGUGGAAAUCUAGGGUCCUUUAUAAUGAAUACGACGGUUGCACCCUCUGGCAGAUCAGAUGUGCAGACAAAUUGUAAGUGUAAUAAAUGUACAUUGCCUAAAACAAACAAACAAAGAAACAAUAAAUAAAUAUAUUAAUUAAUUAAAUAAUGAAAAAAGGUCUAUGAACAACAUUGCCUGAAAAAAAACAUACAGUUAAAAAAACCUGUACAUUUUAUGUUUGGUUAUUAAAAUAUCAAUAAUCAAAGACCAUCCAAAUGGGCUUUCUCAUCUGUUAAUCCAAUUAAUCAAGUAAAAUACUUUAUCAGCAUUGCAAAAGGUACAAUCUAAUUUAGAAUGGCAACUCUCAUAUAUAUGUCACAUUUUAAUGUAUAUAAAUAAUACAUAAAGCCACUGAAGGCACAUUGUACACUGUAUAAGAUAACUUGUUGUAGUGCAUUGAUUUAAUCAAGAUCUAAAAUCUGGCCUUGUAUAGCCCUGUUAUCACUUUCUCUUCCUUUGUAUUUUCAAUAAUCUUUUUCCCCAAAUAUUUCAGACCAAGAAACCUGAUAGAGACUGUGAACACAGGCCAGUACAAGGUAUAGAGGAAGUUUAUUUCUUUCUAUUCUGUAUACAUAUUUUUCUUUCCAAUAUUUUAUGAUUUAUUUUUUCUUUUUGUAUUCCCAGAUUAUCAGAAGUUUCUAAAAUAAAACACCAGUCUGCUGGUUCA
Molecule: long non-coding RNA, 1138 nt
Organism: Cyprinus carpio (common carp)
Lineage: Eukaryota; Metazoa; Chordata; Actinopteri; Cypriniformes; Cyprinidae
Source: Ensembl